AAAUCAAUUGAAAGAUAGGGGGAGUCCCUGAGGUCACUGUUCACGCUCCUGUUUGAGAACUUGGAAAUGGUCAAGAUCCAUACCCCUAAACCAUAUAUACUCAUGUAUGGGACAAUAUAACAAAUCAAAUGAAAUAUAAGGGAAGUCCCUGUGGUCAUCCCAACCCUCCUGUUUGAGAACUUGGAAACGGUCGAGAUCCCCACACCAAAACAAUAUAUAUUCAUGUAUGGAUCAAUAUAACUAAUUAAAUGAAAUAUAGGGGGAGUGCCUUGGGUCACCCUACCCUUCCUGUUUGAGAACUUGGAAACCAAUGAGAUCCCCACCCCUAAACCAUAUAUAUUCAUGUAUGGGACAAUAUAACAAAUAAAAUGAAAUGUAGGGGAAGUCCCUAGGGUCACCCUACCCCCAGUGGCGGAUCCAGAAAUAUUCAUAAAUGGGGCCCACUGACUGACCUAAGAGGGGCCCGCUCCAGUCAUGCUUCAGUGAUUACCUAUAUAAGCAACCAAAUUUUUUCCCCAAAAGGGGGGGGGGCGGGUCCCCUGCCCCCUAAAUCCUCUGCCUACCCUUACCUGUUUGAGAACUUGAAAACCGUUGAGAUCCCUACCCCUAAAUUCAUUUGUAUGGGACAAAAUAACAAAUCAUUUACAUUUACUAUGGGCAAGUCAGUCAGACCUCAUCUUUGAUCCCUGUUGUAGUGAACAUUUGUCUGAUUCGUGUCUCAUAACUUUUGUACUAUAGAACACACACUCAGUUUUCUUUCCAGGGAAACCAGUCCAUUCAUACUAUUACAUGUUCAUACUACGUCAAAUUGAACUUCUAGCAGUCAAAUAAAACCAAGGUUAACUACCAAGUAGAACAACUGCAAUCAUUGGGAACUUGUACCACUGCAGACUCACCAUAAAAAAUAUACAUUGAUAUAUGCAUAUCUUUUGAAACCAUGAUAACAUAUAUAAAUUAUUUGCCUUAAUAAAUAAAUCAUUAGAUAAACAUGAAUGUACUAUAUAUGAAUAU
RNAcentral lists this long non-coding RNA (1011 nucleotides) under Mytilus galloprovincialis (Mediterranean mussel). Lineage: Eukaryota; Metazoa; Mollusca; Bivalvia; Mytilida; Mytilidae. The record is from RNAcentral.